UACAGAGGGGGCAAGCGUUGUUCGGAAUUACUGGGCGUAAAGGGCGCGUAGGCGGCCUGUUAAGUCGAACGUGAAAUCCCCGGGCUCAACCCGGGAACUGCGUCCGAUACUGGCAGGCUUGAAUCCGGGAGAGGGAUGCGGAAUUCCAGGUGUGGCGGUGAAAUGCGUAGAUAUCUGGAGGAACACCGGUGGCGAAGGCGGCAUCCUGGACCGGCAUUGACGCUGAGGCGCGAAAGCCAGGGGAGCAAACGGG
RNAcentral lists this ribosomal RNA (253 nucleotides) under uncultured bacterium. RNAcentral's name for it is "partial 16S ribosomal RNA". It matches the Rfam family "Bacterial small subunit ribosomal RNA", at positions 524 to 776 of the family's 1533-position model. The record is from RNAcentral.